Long non-coding RNA from Amphibalanus amphitrite, 324 nucleotides. RefSeq lists it as uncharacterized. The record is from RefSeq and is a predicted model, not a curated record. NCBI's taxonomy places the organism in Eukaryota, Metazoa, Arthropoda, Thecostraca, Balanomorpha, Balanidae. The transcript has 3 exons.
UCGGUUACGGAUGCGUUGAAAACGGACAUGUGUUGACCAAAUUUAACAAUAUGCGGACAAUGGAUCGACUUCUUGAAGCCUGUGGACGUGAUACACCUUCUCCAUCACCAUCAAGAGAUCAACAUUUUCGAAGACACUUGCGUACGGCUGCAGUGUCCGGCGCAAUGCUGAAUGCGACCUGUUAUCUGUUGGAUCUACUCUGUGAGCCCGAACCCCAGUGCAAUGGCACUGUUCGACUACAGCGCUGGACGUCGUCUACUUUUUGCUAGAGGGAAAGGUCAUCAUCCGUCCAUGAACUUCGGGCUGCUCACAGCUAUAUUGCCU